RNAcentral lists this ribosomal RNA (530 nucleotides) under uncultured Entrophosporaceae. Its description in RNAcentral is "SSU rRNA". It matches the Rfam family "Eukaryotic small subunit ribosomal RNA", at positions 548 to 1076 of the family's 1831-position model. Lineage: Eukaryota; Fungi; Glomeromycota; Glomeromycetes; Entrophosporales; Entrophosporaceae. The record is from RNAcentral.
UUGGAGGGCAAGUCUGGUGCCAGCAGCCGCGGUAAUUCCAGCUCCAAUAGCGUAUAUUAAAGUUGUUGCAGUUAAAAAGCUCGUAGUUGAAUUUCGGGAUUGACUCGAUGGUCGUGCCUUAAGGGGUAUGAACUGUCGUUGUUGAUUUCUCACCUUCUGGAGAAGCUCGAUGUCCUUAAUUGGAUGUCUUGUGGAACCAGGACCUUUACCUUGAAAAAAUUAGAGUGUUUAAAGCAGGCAUUUUGCUCGAAUACAUUAGCAUGGAAUAAUAGAAUAGGACGGCAUGGUUCUAUUUUGUUGGUUUCUAGGAUCACCGUAAUGAUUAAUAGGGAUAGUUGGGGGCAUUAGUAUUCAAUUGUCAGAGGUGAAAUUCUUGGAUUUAUUGAAGACUAACUUCUGCGAAAGCAUUUGCCAAGGAUGUUUUCAUUAAUCAAGAACGAAAGUUAGGGGAUCGAAGACGAUCAGAUACCGUCGUAGCCUUAACCAUAAACUAUGCCGACUAGGGAUCGGGCGAUGUUACAUUCAAAUAU